GCAGUCUCAAGUUUGAGAACUGCUGGCUUUUACAGAACAUAAAGCGAAGGUUGAGCCCCAAGGGAGUGGUGGGAAGUUGCUCUAAGAAGAGACAAGGUGGCCCCUCUGGCCUGUGUGAGCGGAAGGCAGCUGCGCUGUGAGCAAGAUCUCGGGAGAUGAGAGUCUGAAGCUUAUGUGUGAAGAAGGUCCUUGCUUCCCCUUCACCUUCUGCCAUGAUUCUAAGUUUCCUGACGCCUCCCAGCCGUGCUUCCUGUUAAGCCUGUGAAACUGUGAGUCAAUCAAACCCUUUUCUUCAUAAAUUACCCAGUUUCAGGUAGCUCUUUAUAGCAGUGUGAAAAUGGACUAAUACAGAAAAUUGGUACCAGAGAGGUGGGGCAUUCCUAUAAAGAUACCUGAAGAUGUAGAAGCAAUUUUGGAAUUUGGGUAAUGGGCAGAGGUUACAACAAUUUGGAGGGCUCAGAAGAUAGGAAGAUGAGGGGAAGUUUGGAACUUCCUAGAGACUUGUUCAAUGGUUUUGACCAAAAUACUGAUAGUGAUGAAUAGUGAAGUCCAGGCUGAGGUGGUCUCAGAUGGAAAUGAGGAACUUACUGGGAAUUGGAGCAAAGGUCACUCUUGCUAUGCUUUAGCAAAGAGACUGGUGGCAUGGUGCCCCUGCUCUAGGGAUCUGUGGAAAGAAAUUUCUAGGCAGUAAAGUGUUCAAGAUGUGAUCUGGCUGCUUCUAACAGUGUAUAGUCAUAUGUAUUCAUAAAGAGAUGUUCUGAAAUUGGAACUUACAUUAAAAAGGGAAGCUGAAUAUAAAAGUUUGGAAACUUUGCAGCCUGACCAUGUGGUACAAAAGAAAAAAAAACAUAUUUCUGAGGAGAAUUCAAGCCAGCUGCAGAGAUUUGCGUAAGUAAAGAGGAGCCAAAUGUUAAUAGCUGAGACAAUGGGGAAAAUGUCUCCAGGGCGU
Molecule: long non-coding RNA, 949 nt
Filed under: Homo sapiens (human)
Lineage: Eukaryota; Metazoa; Chordata; Mammalia; Primates; Hominidae
Description: HSALNT0332051
Source: RNAcentral